RNAcentral lists this transfer RNA (72 nucleotides) under Camelus bactrianus (Bactrian camel). It matches the Rfam family "tRNA". From Rfam's summary of the family: Transfer RNA (tRNA) molecules are approximately 80 nucleotides in length. Their secondary structure includes four short double-helical elements and three loops (D, anti-codon, and T loops). Further hydrogen bonds mediate the characteristic L-shaped molecular structure. tRNAs have two regions of fundamental functional importance: the anti-codon, which is responsible for specific mRNA codon recognition, and the 3' end, to which the tRNAs corresponding amino acid is attached (by aminoacyl-tRNA synthetases). tRNAs cope with the degeneracy of the genetic code in two manners: having more than one tRNA (with a specific anti-codon) for a particular amino acid; and 'wobble' base-pairing, i.e. permitting non-standard base-pairing at the 3rd anti-codon position. The record is from Rfam by way of RNAcentral. RNAcentral also lists the same sequence under 2 other names. Lineage: Eukaryota; Metazoa; Chordata; Mammalia; Artiodactyla; Camelidae.
GAGGGUAUAGCUCAGCGGUAGAGUGCGUGCUUAGCAUACAUGGAGUCCUGGGUUCAAACCCCAGUACCUCCA